Molecule: long non-coding RNA, 682 nt
Filed under: Olea europaea (common olive)
Lineage: Eukaryota; Viridiplantae; Streptophyta; Magnoliopsida; Lamiales; Oleaceae
Description: long non-coding RNA (OEUR_LNC004461)
Source: RNAcentral
UUAUUUUAACUAAUGAAGAAUUUGGUCUUGUACAAAAUAUACAUGAGAAAAUUUGGUGGAUUUUAUAUAAGAAUGCAACUUAAUUUCUUCCAUUUGCUUCAUCUACAUUGCUAUUCAACCUCACAUUUGCGAAAAGGAACACAGGGAGCUUAAAUGAUGAAAUUGGAUAUUUUUCUUAUAUGGUCCAUGUAAAAUUAAUGUGUUGGGGAAUGAGGAUUGUCUUCCAUUGGAAGAUAGGUAUUUUAGGACGACAAUGAAAUUUACAUCUAUCUCACACACAAAAAGGUAACAGAGGAUAUAAUUGUUCGUGUUUUAUUUGUGGUGAUGGAAAGUGUUAAACUUGUAGAGGAGAGGGAGGGGUCUUAUCAGUUGUUUGCUAAAUAUAAGGUUUUCCUAAUUUCUUACUUAUUUAUUGGGUGUGGCAAUGGGUAGUUGAUAUUUCUCUAUGCCCAAGGUUUGGGAGAAUAAUUAGUAGUGAAAAGUUGGGAUGAUCUAUUUUCUGAGGGGUGGGAAAGAAUUUAAUAAUGAUGUUUACACUAGUGUAUGAGAACAGUGGACACAUUCUCUGGUUCUAUUAGUUUUAAAUUAAUUCGACUCAGAUUCCAAUGAAAAUUGGGAGUUGAUAUAUUUUUUAAUGUUUUAUAGAUACGCUUUAAUAAUUAAAUGUAUUGCUCAUAAUCCC